This is a long non-coding RNA of Oncorhynchus nerka (sockeye salmon), 8347 nucleotides long. RefSeq lists it as uncharacterized. Lineage: Eukaryota; Metazoa; Chordata; Actinopteri; Salmoniformes; Salmonidae. The transcript has 7 exons. The record is from RefSeq and is a predicted model, not a curated record.
GGUUGUACCUGGUGGGUUCCUUGAUGAUUUGUGUGAGAUUGAGGGCAUCUAGCUUAUAUUGUAGGACUGCCGGGGUGUUAAGCAUAUCCCAGUUUAGGUCACCUAACAGAACAAACUCUGAAGGUAGAUGGGGGGCGAUCAAUUCACAAAUGGUGUCCAGGGCACAGCUGGGAGCUGAGGGGGGUCGGUAGCAGGCGGCAACAGUGAGAGACUUAUUUCUGGAGAGAGUAAUUUUUAAAAUUAGUAGUUCGAACUGUUUGGCUAUGGACCUGGAAAGUAUGACAUUACUUUGCAGGCUAUCUCUGCAGUAGACUGCAACUCCUCCCCCUUUGGCGGUUCUAUCUUGACGGAAAAUGUUAUAGUUGGGUAUGAAAAUCUCAGAAUUUUUGGUGGCCUUCCUGAGCCAGGAUUCAGACACGGCAAUGGCCCCCUAGUGGGCAUCCUCUCUGGGUGGAAUGCAACAAAAAGAGUCUGCUGCCCCGCCAAAAACGGACUCCCCCCACAUGCACCACAGAUCAAAGGAGGGCUCUUUUAGCCACCUUCACAAGCGUCCCAGAAAGUCUCGCCUCUGGGUUUACAAGCUCUUCUUUCGGGCUUCGCCUCUUCCUACAAAUACUUUUUAUAACUAAACCAAGAUAGACCACAGCCUGUUUCCAAUGGGAACAAAUGAGUAACAGUGGCCAGAACAAAAAAGGAGAUCGAAUCCCCGAGCUGACAAGGUAAAAAUCUGUAGUUCUACCCCUGAACAAGGCAGUUAACCCACCGUUCCUAGGCUGUCAUUGUAAAUAAGAAUGUGUUCUUAACUGACUUGCCUAGUUAAAUAAAAAUAAAUAAAGAGUCAAGCACGAGCUAGCGGGAUCCUAUUAGCCUGUUUUGGCAUGCAUCUGCAUAUUUCCGUUAGGGAACGCCUACUCAGAGUUCGCAUGUGCAAUAACUCAAUUCGCCUUUGCAUUCCUUCUAAACAAAGCAAUGUUUUUACAACCUUAGCAAAGGUUAAAUUCUACAAAACGUUGUCCACCUUCUUCAUAACAGAUUAUAGUUUUGGUUACAGAAAACUGUACUGAAAUAAAUAAUCGAUGAGAAAAUGUGCAGAAUGUUGACCAAAAUCCAUCUUCUCCCACUGCCGGCUUCUUCUUACUACAAUAUUUGGUAGUGAGUGGAAACGCCAAGCGGAUGCUUCACAUUUUUACAUCCGGUGAAAUAUCUGUCUCAUUGUUCUAUCGGUUCUUCCUCUCUGAUUUCAGGAAGAACAGUUAAUGGCCGUGUUCGAGGUUAAUGGCUAGAAGGGAUACAGCUUUUGUCAAAUGAGCCUUCUAGCCAUGUAUGUGUUCAAGAGUCAAAAGCGCAAUGUAUAAUGGGUAAAUUGUGACUGACUGACUUUUUAGUAAAUAAUAAUGAGUCGUUACUUAUGAUGCAAGGUGAUUUGUAGAUCAGUCAGUAGACAGUCGCCUGCAGUCGUUUUGAUGCUCUCGAACGCGGCCGAUGUUUCUUCAGCGUCAGUAGAGCGGGCAUUAACUUCAGCCUUUCUCCUCUUAAGAACUCUUAGAGGUAUGUACAUUUUAAAUAGAUUUAAGGCUAUUGGCACAGUCCAGUGAAUGUUUCUCUUUCCGAGUUAUGUUUUGGCACAGUCCAGUGAAUGUUUCUCUUUCCGAGUUAUGUUAUAGUGGAGACUACAAAUCCUCCGCAUUUGAAACUAUUAAAAUGAGCUUUUCCAAAAGUCUCGCAAUAGUACUGUAAUGAAACAGGCAGAGAGCAGGUCUCGAACCUUCGACCUUCUAGCCCAAAAUCCAACGCGCUAUCGACUGUGCUGCAAAAGCAUGCUCGUGUGGCAGAGUCGAGUCCAGGGUCGAUUUUUAUAAACUGGUAUAUGGCCAAUAUACCACAGCUAAAGGCUGUUCUUUGCAAGCCUGUUCUUUCACGACCCGAGUGCCUGGAUAAAGCCCUUAGCCGUGGUAUAUUGGACAUAUACCACAAACCUCUGGGGUGCCUUAUUGCUGUUAUAAACUGGUUACCAAAGUAAUUAGAGCAGUAUAAAAUAAAUAUUUUGUCAUACCUGUGGUAUACGGUCUGAUAUACCACAGCUGUCAGUGCUCGAACCACCCAGUUUAUAAUUAAGCAAUAAGGUCCGAGGGGGUGUGGUAUAUGGCCAAUAUACCAUGGCUAAGGGCUGUUCUUAAGAGCAACUCAACUUGCGGAGUACCUGUACACAGCCCUUAGCUGUGGUAUAUUGGCCAUGUACCACAAACCCCAGAGGCGUCUUAUUGCUAUUAUCAACUGGUUACCAACGUAAUUAGAGCAGUAAAAAUAUAUGUUUUGUUAUACCUGUGUUAUACGGUCUGAUAUACCACGGCUGUCAGCCAAUCAACAUCCAGGGCUCAAACCACUCAAUUUAUAAAGAUGCCAUAUGAAUCAAGCAAUAAAGCCCAUUUGGGUUGUAGAAAAGCAACAUAUAAGGUGUUGGUUUCAUGAGCUGAAAUAAAAUACCCCAGAAAUUUUCCAUACACACAAAAAGCUUAUUUCUCUCAAUGUUUUACAUCCCUGUCAGUGAAUAUUUUUCCUUUGCCAACAAUCCACCCACCUGACAGGUGUGGCAUAUCAAGGAGCUGAUUAAACAGCAUGAUCAUUACACGUGCAUUUUGUGCUGGGGACAAUAAAAUGUGCAGUUUUGUCAAACAACACAAUGCCACAGAUGUCUCAAGUUUUGAGGGAGCCUGCAAUUGAUAUGGUGACUGCAGGAAUGUCCACCAGAGCGGUUGCCAGAGAAUUUAAUGUUCAUUUCUCUACCAUAAGGUCUCACAACCGCAGACCACGUGUAUGGCGUCUUGUGGCCGAGUGGUUUACUGAUGUCAACUUUGAAUAGAGUGCCCCAUGGUGGCGGUGGGGUUAUGGUAUCGGCAGGCAUAAGCUACGGACAACAAACACAAUUGCAUUUUAUUGAUGCCAAUUUGAAUGCACAGAGAUACUGUGACAAGAUCCCAAGGCCCAUUUAAAAACACAAGAUUGAUUUUCAAGAACUCCUGGCCAGACUGGUUAUCUCAGAGCCAACAAAUCCUAUUAUCAAGUGCAUUAUUAAGAAUAAUCUGGAGAGACUGAAGAAAUUGAUUAGAGGCAAGGACAUCGAUGCAUUGUACCCUUGUGUUGAGUUACAAGAUGAAGUAACCCCUUUAAUUGCUGCUGUUGCAUUUGCAAAUCAGGAGAUUUGUACAUUUCUUCUGGGAAAAGGUGCUGACCCCAACAAACCAUCAAAGAGAUAUUUAGCACCACUGCAUUAUGCUGGACUGCGUAAAGUUCCAGUGAAUAUAGUGACAACAUUACUGGAAGCAAAGGCAGAUCCAAAUGGUCUAGUAGAAACAGGCCUACCUGUAAAACCAAAGUUCUCUCCAAUUCAAUUAGCACAUGACAGAGAGGAUGUUGUGAAGAAGUUGCUCGAAUCUGGAGCUGUAAUGUGGCUAAAUCAUGACAUCCAUCCUGCAAUUGAUCUGAAAUUGGCCACAAUAAUUGAAAACUUUGCUAAAGAGAGUGAGUUAUUUUCCAAAAUCAAGAUUUUUUAAAAUUUUGUGAAAGCAGUAAAACAAACAUCCCCAACAGAAGUGUUCAGCAGCUUUGCCCAGAACCUUCUACAGGUGAACCCCCAAACCCACCUUACUAUGGUUGACAUGUGCUUUAACAUUGAAGGUCCAUAUGCAGAAAAAUACCCCCAGACAGCCAUUACAUGGUUGAACGACUCCAAUAAACUAGAUUACUAUGUUGAAGAUGUAAGCAAACGUCUGUCUACAAUUCCUCAGCUUUUUAGGACAAUUGCAUUGAAAUCCUUAGAUAGAGUUGUUUGCUCCAUGAAGGAAAUACCUAAUGAGGUGUCACUUACCCUAAUUCCUGAGUUAGUGAAACUGCUUUCCUCUAAAACAGAAGAUUAUCUUGUUCCAUUGAUCAUUGUUACGCUCUGUUGCAUCACACAGAAGACAAAAGACAAGGAUCGUUGGAGCAACUCUGACCUUGAGGAAAUAUGCAAGCACAUUGUCCCAUGCACACAGAGGAAGGGUUAUCCCUAUGAAUUGAAGAUGUAUGCCUAUGCAUUGCUAGCAGAUCUUUACACAUUUAGUUGUGUUCCUGGUUACAUCAGCUCUCUGGGACUGACUCCGGUACCCGAAGAACUACUUAUCUGGGGAUGGGAUGAAAACCUGAAAGUAAGAGAGAUUUAAACAAGUCCUUAAACGGACAACAUUCUGUCUCCAAGUCAGCAAGUGAAGAUUCAAAAGAUAGUUAUUUAUCAGAAACCAACAAGAAGAAGAAGAAGAAGAUGAAGAGAACGGCAGAAAAACAAGACAUACCAAAAGAAGAGACAGACACACAAGAAAAUAAAACCUGUUUAGCCUUCAAUACUUCAUCUACUGCUGUUGAGGAAUCUGGCCUUGAUGAGUGUUCUAGUGUCAAGCCGUUCCACCCCACCACUGACACGUCACCAUUACAGCGCAAAUGGCUCAAAGUCAGCAAGCGGUGGGAGACACAGUUAGAGAAGCUUGCCAACGUGGAUGAAUGUACAUGUUAUAAAGUAGGAAACCUCACUCUAAUACAUUAUGAUAAUUACUUUCGCAUAGCAAAGGGAAGUGAUGGAUCUGAGGUCUUCUUGGGCCUGAGGGAUGAUGGCACUGAAGUAGCUAUAAAGAGAAUGAUCAGGUCAAACUAUCAGUUUCUCAAGAGGGAGGAAGGAUUUUUUCGUCUUCCAAAGCUUGACAGUAGCUGUAUUGUGAGAUACAUGGACUUUGCAGAAGACAGUUUCUUUGGUUAUCUUGCUCUUCAGCUCUGUGAAUACACUCUGGAUGAGUACAUUAAUACACACCUGUCCAAGGACGACACUCGUGCCCUGAUUAAAAUCACUCAAGAGGUGCUCCGCAGUUUAAGUGUCCUUCAUUGUCCAACUACCAAGUCCUUCAUCGGGAUAUCAAACCUCUGUUUUGAUAGGUGAGAGAUACUAUAGCAUUGCACAGUUAAGCCUUUCACUCUAAAUCUAAUACAUGUUUUUCACCAUUAUGUGUUAAAAAAUUGCAUAUGCAGUAUUUUAAACUCAUUUUCUAGUACAUAUAAUUAUGAAAAGCAUGAUAUUGUGAUAUUAUUUAUCCUUAACAGAUAUCAAUGGAAAUGCAAAAUUGGCAGAUUUUGGCAUAAGUCGCAGAUUGACAGUGGAACAAACAACUCUAUACACAGUCCCUGCAGGAACAAAAUGCUGGAUGGCCAAGGAGACAUUAGACAAACAAGGCUCUGGAUAUAAGAGGAGCUCUGACAUACAGGUGGCUGGGAUGUUGGUAUACUACGUUCUUUCUGGUGGACACCACCCCUUUGAAGGUCCACUUGGUGAGGAACUUGAACAGAAUCGAAACAUAAUCAAGGGGACUUACACACUAGAACAUGUGGCAGACGAGGUGACAAAAGACCUCAUUGAGUGGAUGAUCAAUGAAGACCCUGAUGAGAGACAAAUGUAUAAGAAGUCUGUGCCAAGACUGGAAGGCAGUUGUAUUCAUGAUCCAGCUCGGCUUUUAUUAUGACGUAAUAAAAAGUAUAUUUGAACUCACGUGCUCCGGUAUUUGUGAAAUAUGAUUGACCAAAUAUUUCCACGACAUACAUUUUAAAAGUGCUGAACAAAUAGUUAUAUUGGCUAUGUCCAUCUUAGCUCGCUCAUUAAUGUCUUAAUCGAAAUCACGGAUUGCCUCAUCUGCUUGUUGUCCCCUUAUGCCAUAGUUUGUACAUCAAUUGUCAGUAGAAACCACAUUUGUUUAAACGAGUCAGCCAUAUCAGCUAUGUUUUUUAAAAAUAAGUAAAUGAGGCUGAAUACUGAUACUCUGGUGUGUCAGUGGUAAAGUGUUGGGACUGCUGUUGGGACUCUGUUGUUGGGACAGCUUUAUGUACCGUUUCUGGGCACAGUUUGUCACUGGUAUAGUGCAAUUCAUGUUUUGUUUACUGUUGUGCUCUGUACUGGCGUUGCUGGCAUGCAUCCCACGUCUUUUUGGUUUUGUUUACUGUUGUGCUCUGUACUGGCGUUGCUGGCAUGCAUCGCACGUCUUUUUGGUUUUGUUUGCCCCACCAAGAUUUACAUGCUACAUGUUUUGGGCAACCUCACCAAUUUCACAUACAACUGUGAGUUAUAGAUCUGUCAUUCUUGUUGAACGCCAGUCUAAAAGCAGUAGAUUUGUUCUAUGUGUACUUUUAUAUGCUUCCCGUUCUUAAAGGUUUGUUUUUGCGUCUUUUACUUAGAACUUAUAGCCACGUUGGCUUCAUAAACCACUGCUACUGUUAACCACAAAGAGCAUUUGAUUCUGUCUCAUCUCCUCUACCUUUCUCACGUCUACUCCUGCUCCUCCCCUCCAGUGUUCGACAUCGCUGGUUUACUAACCACCGGUCCUGGGAACCAUCAUUACGCGCACCUGGCAUUCAUCACUACGCUCACCUGUGCUUCAUUAAGCACACCUGUACUCCAUUACCUCACGUUAUACCUCCCCUUUAUCUGGCACUCCCUUAGGUUCUUUCCCUGGGCAUUAUUGUAUUAUUUUGUUCAUGUCUAGACGCUAUGCCGUAUUGGUCUAUGGUACUUGCGCUAUUCAACUUGACUCCCAGCAUCUAGGUUACAGAAUACUGCCUCACAAAAUGGAAACAGCAGAUGGUCGACAAGCAGGGAUACCUACUUUGUAAUCACCAUGACCAGCGGGCACAACUAGGGACGGCUAUGGAAGAGGCUCUUCGCAGUGUUCAACGUCUUGAACAUACCAGAGAGGAGUUGCCUUCAACUAGUGGAGGAUACUCUACCACCAGCCCAUUCAGCUAACUGUGCAGGUCAGCGAUGUCCCUCCUGGAUAAAUAUGACAGCACCCCAUGUAAAUGCUGUGGCUUCUGACUACAGUAUUCUACUUUUCGCACCAGAUGGGAACUCCUACUGCCGAGAGGUCCAAGGUUGCCACGGUUAUUUCUCUGCUGACUGGGUGGGCAUUGGAAUGGGCCAUAGAUGUCUGGGAGAGGAGCUGGAUUCGUAUGCAGGGUUCAUGGCUCGGUUCAGAGGUAUCUUCGAUCAUCCACUGGAGGGCAGAGAGGGGUAACACUUUGGAUCAGAGCCUGAACCCACGGGGGUAGGGGUCACUUGCCUCCCCGCAGUGGAGCAAUGCAGGCGGCGAUAGCUGGGGCUCUGUCUCUAUCGUGGGCACCUGCUCCAGCAGUGUCCGAUACGGCCCAACUCGGGAUCCACAAGUGUAGAGGGAUGGUCACUUGAUCUUUUACUUCCUGGGGCAGAUCAAUAGUGGAUUCCUGUGCUGCGGGGAACUUUAUUGACCAGACCUUUGCCUCAACUUCAACUAAUACCCGCUCUCCUCGCCUUUCCUGGUUCAUGCCCUCGAUAGUCAGUAAUUAGGUUCCGGGACCAUCAGACACAUCAAACUACUCACUGCGCCCCCAUGCAGAUGCAUCUACCCUCUGUCGGUGGCUGAAACCCAGGCCAUCGAAGAGGACAUUCAUGAGGCGCUCCAACAAGGUUUCAUCCGCACGUCCACUUCUCCCGUGUCCGCAGGCUAAUUCUUCGUGGCCAAGGAUGGAGGUUUACGCCUAUGUAUAUAUUAGAGGACUCAAUGACAUCACCAAGUACCGUUACCCUCUCCCAUUGUUGCCGGCAGCCAUCAAAGAGCUCUGCGGGGCUCAGUUUAACCUUUUUAUUUUUUAACCAAAUUGGACCUGCGGAGUACAUACAAUCUCAUCUGCAUCAGGGAGGAGGAUGACUGGAAGACUGCUUUUAGCACAAUAUCUGGUCACUGGAGGAUCACUUUGCGUGGAUGAAAAAUUAAGACUACAGUGGAGACCCUGAAUCAUCCCUCCUUCUGGAAACCACAGGAGAGUUGGGAAUGAGAGGAUGGGAAGUGUCGUAAUGCUGCCCAAGAGCUUCUAGAAGUGCUAUGGAGACAACCUUCUGUCAGUGGAGAUCCAAGCUGCUGUCUAAAUUGAUGAUAAAGAUGGAUGGCAGAAAGCCCUACCCUGAACAUGUUGGGGUUACUACGCUCCAUGAGCACUAGUAUUGCUGAGGAUUUAGAAUUGGUUGACCUAAUGAAGAUGCUCCCCGAUCUCUUUGGAUGUGUCUACAUGUUGGCCAAGAAAAAGGGCUGGAAUUCAAGGCCUGGUCUGAAAAAUGUAUUUCAGAAAGAUAUAAGCUCAUGGUUCUGAAAUGUAAAUUGUCAUGUGAAGUGAUGAAAUAUGACCUAUUGUAGUACUUUUGACUUUUGUAGGUAGAGCCACUGAUCUUAACUGUUUUAAGAACAUUUUAUAUUCUAUAUCUUCACAGAUCUAAACCAUAUGAUUUUUACGAAUCUUACAUGGUUAU